GCGCGGGCAGGCGUGUUUUUAUAGUCCAUGCUGAAGCGCCCCGGCCUCACACCCGGGCCGCGCCCAAUGGAAACCUGCGGAGGCUUGCGCCGCGAGCAGAGCACGAGGGAAUUCAAGUGUAGCGGUGAAUGGAGAGAUGUGGAGGAAUACAGUGGGAAGGGACUUUUUGGUCUGUAAUGACGUUGAGGCGGAAAGCGUGGGGAGCAAACAGGAUUAGAUACCUGGUAGUCCACGCCGUAAAACGAUGAGUGUAGGUGUUAGAGGGUUUCCGCCCUUUAGUGCUGAAGCUAACGCAUUAAGCACUCCGCUGGGGAGUACGGUCGCAAGGUGAAACUAAAAGGAAUUGACGGGGACCCGCACAAGCGGUGGAGCAUGUGGUUUAAUUGAAGCAACGCGAAGAACCUUACCAGGUCUUGACAUCCCCCUGACCAGUACAGAGAUGUACUUUCCCCUUCGGGGGCAGGGGUGACAGGUGGUGCAUGGUUGUCGUCAGCUCGUGUCGUGAGAUGUUGGGUUAAGUCCCGCAACGAGCGCAACCCUUGUCCUUAGUUGCCAGCAUUUGGUUGGGCACUCUAAGGAGACUGCCGGUGACAAACCGGAGGAAGGUGGGGAUGACGUCAAAUCAUCAUGCCCCUUAUGACUUGGGCUACACACGUGCUACAAUGGACGGUACAAAGGGCAGCGAAGUCGCGAGGUGGAGCCAAUCCCAGAAAGCCGUUCUCAGUUCGGAUUGCAGGCUGCAACUCGCCUGCAUGAAGUCGGAAUCGCUAGUAAUCGCAGGUCAGCAUACUGCGGUGAAUACGUUCCCGGGUCUUGUACACCCCCCCCGUCACACCACGAGAGUUUGCUGUCACCUCGAUGGUUCGAGGAGAAGUCGUAACAAGGUAAGCCAUGCUAGAGUGAGG
Molecule: ribosomal RNA, 905 nt
Filed under: Exiguobacterium profundum
Lineage: Bacteria; Bacillati; Bacillota; Bacilli; Caryophanales
Description: bacterial SSU rRNA
Rfam family: Bacterial small subunit ribosomal RNA
Source: RNAcentral